UACUAGAGUAGCACUCGCAUAUCAAUAAGCGGAGGAAAAGAAACUAACAAGGAUUCCCUUAGUAACGGCGAGUGAAGCGGGAAGAGCUCAAAUUUGAAAUCUUCAAGGUUUUACCUUGACGAAUUGUAGUUUAAAGAAGUGUUUUCUGUUGAAGUUUUGGUAAAAGUUCUUUGGAAUAGGACAUCAUAGAGGGUGAGAAUCCCGUAUUUGACCAUUAUUUUCAGCUGUGUGAUACACUUUCAAAGAGUCGGAUUGUUUGGGAAUGCAGUCCAAAAUGGGUGGUAAAUUUCAUCUAAAGCUAAAUAUUGGCGAGAGACCGAUAGCGAACAAGUACCGUGAGGGAAAGAUGAAAAGAACUUUGAAAAGAGAGUUAAACAGUACGUGAAAUUGUCAAAAGGGAAGCGUUUGACACCAGUGUUGUUCUCUCGAAAAUCAAUUAAAAAAGGCUGGAUUUUGUGUUGUAUUGACCUUAAAAGCUUUCUUCACUCUUUUCUUGUCUUUUUUAAUGCACUUUUCGUUUAACAAGUCAACAUCAGUUUCUUUUGUUGUAAAAGGGUCAUUGGAAGGUGGCUUUCUUUUCGGAGAAAGUGUUUAUAGCCUUUGAUCUCUGCAACCGGAGAGACUGAGGUCUGCAGCGUAGACUCUUCGGGGUUAGAUACAUUUGUGCUAAGCUAUAGCUUUUUAUAGACAACUUGUUGACUAUAUUUAGUCUUGUGGCUUACUCGCUUAUGCUAUUUUACCUACGCUUAGGAUGUUGAAGAUGUAGCACAUCAU
RNAcentral lists this ribosomal RNA (774 nucleotides) under uncultured Neocallimastigales. RNAcentral's name for it is "partial large subunit ribosomal RNA". It matches the Rfam family "Eukaryotic large subunit ribosomal RNA", at positions 20 to 620 of the family's 3401-position model. The record is from RNAcentral. Lineage: Eukaryota; Fungi; Neocallimastigomycota; Neocallimastigomycetes; Neocallimastigales.